CAUGUACUCCCUCCGUUCCGAAUUACUUAUCACAGGUAUGAAUGUAUUUAGAUGUAUUUUAGUUGUAGAUACAUCCAUUUCUGCGACGAGUAAUUUGGAACGGAGGGAGUAGCAG
Non-coding RNA from Triticum aestivum (bread wheat), 115 nucleotides. The record is from Rfam. NCBI's taxonomy places the organism in Eukaryota, Viridiplantae, Streptophyta, Magnoliopsida, Poales, Poaceae.